AACGAACGCUGGCGGCAUGCCUAACACAUGCAAGUCGAACGAGACCUUCGGGUCUAGUGGCGCACGGGUGCGUAACGCGUGGGAAUCUGCCCUUGGGUUCGGGAUAACAGUUGGAAACGACUGCUAAUACCGGAUGACGUCUUCGGACCAAAGAUUUAUCGCCCAGGGAUGAGCCCGCGUCGGAUUAGCUAGUUGGUAGGGGAAAAGCCUACCAAGGCGACGAUCCGUAGCUGGUCUGAGAGGAUGAUCAGCCACACUGGGCCUGAGACACGGCCCAGACUCCUACGGAAGGCAGCAGUGGGGAAUAUUGAACAAUGGGCGAAAGCCUGAUCCAGCAAUGCCGCAUGAGUGAUGAAGGCCUUAGGGUUGUAAAGCUCUUUUACCCGGGAUGAUAAUGACAGUACCGGGAGAAUAAGCCCCGGCUAACUCCGUGCAGCCGCCGCAGUAA
This 448-nucleotide ribosomal RNA is filed under the name uncultured bacterium. Its description in RNAcentral is "partial 16S ribosomal RNA". It matches the Rfam family "Bacterial small subunit ribosomal RNA", at positions 29 to 523 of the family's 1533-position model. The record is from RNAcentral.